This 76-nucleotide transfer RNA is filed under the name Candidatus Limadaptatus stercoravium. RNAcentral's name for it is "tRNA-Ala". It matches the Rfam family "tRNA". Rfam says of the family: Transfer RNA (tRNA) molecules are approximately 80 nucleotides in length. Their secondary structure includes four short double-helical elements and three loops (D, anti-codon, and T loops). The record is from RNAcentral. RNAcentral also lists the same sequence under 2 other names. Lineage: Bacteria; Bacillati; Bacillota; Clostridia; Eubacteriales.
GGGGGCGUGGCUCAGGUGGUAGAGCGAUGCGUUCGCAACGCAUAGGUCAGGGGUUCGAGUCCCCUCGUCUCCACCA